RNAcentral lists this ribosomal RNA (1400 nucleotides) under Enterococcus durans. RNAcentral describes it as "bacterial SSU rRNA". It matches the Rfam family "Bacterial small subunit ribosomal RNA", at positions 59 to 1432 of the family's 1533-position model. Lineage: Bacteria; Bacillati; Bacillota; Bacilli; Lactobacillales; Enterococcaceae. The record is from RNAcentral.
CAGUCGUACGCUUCUUUUUCCCCGGAGCUUGCUCCACCGGAAAAAGAAGAGUGGCGAACGGGUGAGUAACACGUGGGUAACCUGCCCAUCAGAAGGGGAUAACACUUGGAAACAGGUGCUAAUACCGUAUAACAAUCGAAACCGCAUGGUUUUGAUUUGAAAGGCGCUUUCGGGUGUCGCUGAUGGAUGGACCCGCGGUGCAUUAGCUAGUUGGUGAGGUAACGGCUCACCAAGGCCACGAUGCAUAGCCGACCUGAGAGGGUGAUCGGCCACAUUGGGACUGAGACACGGCCCAAACUCCUACGGGAGGCAGCAGUAGGGAAUCUUCGGCAAUGGACGAAAGUCUGACCGAGCAACGCCGCGUGAGUGAAGAAGGUUUUCGGAUCGUAAAACUCUGUUGUUAGAGAAGAACAAGGAUGAGAGUAACUGUUCAUCCCUUGACGGUAUCUAACCAGAAAGCCACGGCUAACUACGUGCCAGCAGCCGCGGUAAUACGUAGGUGGCAAGCGUUGUCCGGAUUUAUUGGGCGUAAAGCGAGCGCAGGCGGUUUCUUAAGUCUGAUGUGAAAGCCCCCGGCUCAACCGGGGAGGGUCAUUGGAAACUGGGAGACUUGAGUGCAGAAGAGGAGAGUGGAAUUCCAUGUGUAGCGGUGAAAUGCGUAGAUAUAUGGAGGAACACCAGUGGCGAAGGCGGCUCUCUGGUCUGUAACUGACGCUGAGGCUCGAAAGCGUGGGGAGCAAACAGGAUUAGAUACCCUGGUAGUCCACGCCGUAAACGAUGAGUGCUAAGUGUUGGAGGGUUUCCGCCCUUCAGUGCUGCAGCUAACGCAUUAAGCACUCCGCCUGGGGAGUACGACCGCAAGGUUGAAACUCAAAGGAAUUGACGGGGGCCCGCACAAGCGGUGGAGCAUGUGGUUUAAUUCGAAGCAACGCGAAGAACCUUACCAGGUCUUGACAUCCUUUGACCACUCUAGAGAUAGAGCUUCCCCUUCGGGGGCAAAGUGACAGGUGGUGCAUGGUUGUCGUCAGCUCGUGUCGUGAGAUGUUGGGUUAAGUCCCGCAACGAGCGCAACCCUUAUUGUUAGUUGCCAUCAUUUAGUUGGGCACUCUAGCAAGACUGCCGGUGACAAACCGGAGGAAGGUGGGGAUGACGUCAAAUCAUCAUGCCCCUUAUGACCUGGGCUACACACGUGCUACAAUGGGAAGUACAACGAGUCGCGAAGUCGCGAGGCUAAGCUAAUCUCUUAAAGCUUCUCUCAGUUCGGAUUGUAGGCUGCAACUCGCCUACAUGAAGCCGGAAUCGCUAGUAAUCGCGGAUCAGCACGCCGCGGUGAAUACGUUCCCGGGCCUUGUACACACCGCCCGUCACACCACGAGAGUUUGUAACACCCGAAGUCGGUG